CAUUGGUUCUAUUUUGUUGGUUUACGGACCGACGUAAUGAUUAAUAGGAACAGUUGGGGACAUUCAUAUUCCGCGGCUAGAGGUGAAAUUCUUGGAUUCGUGGAAGAUGAACUAGUGCGAAAGCAUUUGUCAAAGAUGUUUUCAUUGAUCAAGAACGAAAGUUAGGGGAGCAAAGACGAUCAGAUACCGUCGUAGUCUUAACUAUAAACGAUGCCGACUAGGGAUCGGUGGGAGUUACAUUAAUGACUCCAUCGGCACCUCAUGGGAAACCAAAGUCUUUGGGUUCCGGGGGGAGUAUGGUCGCAAGGCUGAAACUUAAAGGAAUUGACGGAAGGGCACCACCAGGAGUGGAGCCUGCGGCUUAAUUUGACUCAACACGG
RNAcentral lists this ribosomal RNA (380 nucleotides) under uncultured fungus. Its description in RNAcentral is "SSU rRNA". It matches the Rfam family "Eukaryotic small subunit ribosomal RNA", at positions 828 to 1208 of the family's 1831-position model. The record is from RNAcentral. Lineage: Eukaryota; Fungi.